ACGACUCUCGGCAAUGGAUAUCUCGGCUCUCGUAUCGAUGAAGAACGUAGCGAAAUGCGAUACCUGGUGUGAAUUGCAGAAUCCCGCGAACCAUCGAGUCUUUGAAUGCAAGUUGCGCCCGAGGCCACCCGGUCGAGGGCACGUCUGCCUGGGCAUCACGC
RNAcentral lists this ribosomal RNA (161 nucleotides) under Areca catechu (betel palm). RNAcentral describes it as "5.8S rRNA". It matches the Rfam family "5.8S ribosomal RNA". From Rfam's summary of the family: 5.8S ribosomal RNA (5.8S rRNA) is a component of the large subunit of the eukaryotic ribosome. It is transcribed by RNA polymerase I as part of the 45S precursor that also contains 18S and 28S rRNA. Lineage: Eukaryota; Viridiplantae; Streptophyta; Magnoliopsida; Arecales; Arecaceae. The record is from RNAcentral.